RNAcentral lists this unclassified non-coding RNA (182 nucleotides) under uncultured Cortinarius. RNAcentral's name for it is "sequence contains ITS2". The record is from RNAcentral. Lineage: Eukaryota; Fungi; Basidiomycota; Agaricomycetes; Agaricales; Cortinariaceae.
AUAUAUAUAUCAACCUCUCUUGUUGAGUGGUUUGGAUGUGGGGGGAUUUUUGCUGGCCUGUUCAGCUCCUCUGAAAUGCAUUAGCAGAACAACCUGUUCAUUGGUGUGAUAACUAUCUACGCUAUUGAACGUGUGGGGCAGUUCAGCUUUCUAAUGGUCCUUUGGACAAAUAUUUAUCAUUU